This 385-nucleotide long non-coding RNA is filed under the name Scleropages formosus (Asian bonytongue). Its description in RNAcentral is "lncRNA (ENSSFOG00015031639.1)". Lineage: Eukaryota; Metazoa; Chordata; Actinopteri; Osteoglossiformes; Osteoglossidae. The record is from RNAcentral.
CCUGAUCGUCUAAUGAAGUUGAAGGAGCGCAGCGAUUUCCAUUAGCGUCGAAAUUGCAAAGAAGUUCAUUAAAGUAAGUGAAGAAGUAAAAUGUUGCAUAGGAUCUGCCUUCUCAAAGAUGCCAUACUCGUAGUUGCAAAGAACAGAUAAAGCUAGAAGUGAUCUACAUUAUCUUACAAAAAAGCCAGAUUACUCUGACCACAUGGAAUUACAGUAUCACACAAGCCAACAGCCACUCUGCGAAGCAUCAUUUCAAAACCAAAGGAACAACUCAAGAACGAAGAUAGAAUGAAGGUGAUCUACAAAAUCAACUGCAACAAAUACUACGUUGGCCAAAACAGAAGAAAAUGAUCAGCUCAGCUCCAUGAACACAAGCUGGCCAUCA